CAGCUUUCUCUCUCAAACGAGAUCUAGGGUUUCUACAUGCGCUUCAAGAUCUGGCUUUCACAGUUCGGUUCGACACUUCCAUUGGAACCAAAAAAUCUGAGCCAAAUCAGGCCUCUGGAGCGUACAUCUUCCGUCCUCUCAAACGAGAUCUAGGGUUUCUACAUACGCUUCAAGAUCUGGCUUUCACAGUUCGGUUCAACACUUCCAUGGAACCAAAAAAUCUGAGCCAAAUCAGGCCUCUGUAACGUACAUCUUCCGUCCUCUCAAACGAGAUCUAGGGUUUCUACAUGCGCUUCAAGAUCUGGCUUUCACAGUUCGGUUCGACACUUCCAUGGAACCAAAAAAUCUGAGCCAAAUCAGGCCUCUGGAGCGUACAUCUUCCGUCCUAAUGGAAAGUUUCCAAUAAAACCUGCAGGACAGAAAGCUUUUUGAGUUAUAAAAGGUAAAGCCGAAAAGUGAAGCCGUGAAGGUGAGGCUGAGGGUGUAGAAGAUACCAUCCUUAUCUGAUCUACCUUUUUGUUUGGUAUUUGUGUAGUUUAUGUUUAUACGCUGUUAAAUUUCAUGUGUUAUAAGUUGUUUUAAACAGUUUUGCUACUGUUUUUGGAUGUAUUUAUGUUAGAUCUGCGUAAAAUUUUCAGAUCUGUGUUGGUUCUGGGUUUUUAUAAUGUUUUGUGAACUGAUAAUGUGAAUGGAGUGAUAAAAUGAAGGUUAUUGCUUCAUUUGAUGGGUGAAUAGCUGAAGCAUGAUUGAGAAAACAGUUUAAUGUAGAAUGUUGUAUGUUGUAUUUGGUUUACACAUCAGCUAUUAUGCUUCUUGAAUGAGGUUAUCUAAACACAUACCUGUACUUGUUAAUUGUGAGCUUGUGUUUUCAAUUCUCAAAUCAUAUACAAGACUUGUCUGGUUGCACAUAUAGAAGCACUUUUGUUAUAACUAGGUUAACAUU
RNAcentral lists this long non-coding RNA (943 nucleotides) under Helianthus annuus (common sunflower). Its description in RNAcentral is "hypothetical non coding rna". The record is from RNAcentral. Lineage: Eukaryota; Viridiplantae; Streptophyta; Magnoliopsida; Asterales; Asteraceae.